Molecule: unclassified non-coding RNA, 263 nt
Filed under: Hevea brasiliensis (rubber tree)
Lineage: Eukaryota; Viridiplantae; Streptophyta; Magnoliopsida; Malpighiales; Euphorbiaceae
Source: RNAcentral
AAAUUCUUCAAUCACCCCUGCCUGCAAAUCAUAAGCAAAAACAAUAACAAUUACAGGAGAAGUCAGCCAUAAUAUAAAUACAAUUACCAAAAAUUUCUUUAGUUAAAGUGAAGAAAUGGCAACUAAAGCAACAUGCAUGCAUAGAAAGCAAGCAUAAACACAUUCCGAGACCAUAAUAUACUGAAGAAAGAAUAAUCUACUUUCCUACUGUCUUUAAACUACAACAUGCGAGUUCCAACAUAAAAAAUAAUAAUAAUAACAGA